GGUGUGUGCUUUAAAAAUUAAGCACCUGCUGGGCGGUGUGUGCCUUACAGGCCAGAGGAUCGCUUGAGCCCAGGAGUAUCGGGCUGUAUUACACUAUUCUGACAGGGUGGCCGCAAUAAGUUCGGCAUUAAUGUGGUGACCUCCUGAGAGCUGGGGACCAGCAGGUUGCCUAAGGAGGGGUGAAUUAGCUCAGGUCAGAAAUGGAGCAGGUCAGAACUCCCAUGCUGAUCAGUAGUGGGAACACGCCCAUGAAUAGCCACCACACUCCAGCCUGGGCAACACAGCGAGACCCUGUCUCUU
This is an unclassified non-coding RNA of Macaca mulatta (Rhesus monkey), 300 nucleotides long. It matches the Rfam family "Metazoan signal recognition particle RNA". Rfam says of the family: The signal recognition particle (SRP) is a universally conserved ribonucleoprotein. It is involved in the co-translational targeting of proteins to membranes. Lineage: Eukaryota; Metazoa; Chordata; Mammalia; Primates; Cercopithecidae. The record is from Ensembl.